This 451-nucleotide ribosomal RNA is filed under the name uncultured bacterium. Its description in RNAcentral is "partial 16S ribosomal RNA". It matches the Rfam family "Bacterial small subunit ribosomal RNA", at positions 28 to 507 of the family's 1533-position model. The record is from RNAcentral.
AGCGAACGCUGGCGGCAUGCCUAACACAUGCAAGUCGCACGGGGGGGCUUCGGCCUCCCAGUGUCGGCCGGGUGAGGAACGCUUAGGGACCUGUCGAUGGGCGGCGGAUAACCGCGGGAAAAUGUGGCUAAUACCGCACUACUCCGCGGCGUGACAGCCGGGGCCAAAGGCGGGAGCCGCCCGCCGAGGGGGCUGCGUCCGAUUAGCUGGUUGGCGGGGUUGCGGCCCACCAAGGCGUGGACCGGUAGCUGGUCUGAGAGGGUGAUCAGCCACACCGGGACUGCGACACGGCCCGGUCUCGUACGGGAGAGAGCAGUGGGGAAUAUUGGGCAAUGGGCGCAAGCCUGAUCCAGCAAUGCGGCGUGGGUGAAGAAGGUCUUCGUAUUGUGAAGCCCUUUCGGCGGGGACGAUGGUGACGGUACCCGCAGAAGAAGCCCCGGCUAACUUCGUG